Molecule: ribosomal RNA, 350 nt
Filed under: Paenibacillus polymyxa
Lineage: Bacteria; Bacillati; Bacillota; Bacilli; Caryophanales; Paenibacillaceae
Description: partial 23S ribosomal RNA
Rfam family: Bacterial large subunit ribosomal RNA
Source: RNAcentral
CGUAAGUGUUGAACCGAAAUUCAAAGCAAAUCGUAUUUACGAUGUAAAUACUAGGUUAAGCUACAAAGAGCACACGGAGGAUGCCUAGGCGCCAGGAGCCGACGAAGGACGUGGCGAACAACGAUAAGGCCUCGGGGAGCUGUAAGCAAGCUUUGAUCCGGGGAUGUCCGAAUGGGGGUAGCUAUGUACGGAAGGGAUAAGCGCUGAAAGCAUCUAAGCGUGAAGCCCCCCUCAAGAUGAGAUUUCCCAAUUAGUAAGACCCCUUGAAGACGACGAGGUAGAUAGGUUGGGGGUGGAAGUGCAGCAAUGCAUGGAGCUGACCAAUACUAAUCGGUCGAGGGCUUAUCCUA